UUGCUGGAUGCUGACGAGCGGCGGACGGGUGAGUAACGCAUAGGAAUCUACCCGGUAGUGGGGGAUAACCUGGGGAAACCCAGGCUAAUACCGCAUACGUCCUACGGGAGAAAGGGGGCUUUGGCUCCCGCUAUUGGAUGAGCCUAUGCCGGAUUAGCUGGUUGGUGAGGUAAUGGCUCACCAAGGCGACGAUCCGUAGCUGGUCUGAGAGGAUGAUCAGCCACAUCGGGACUGAGACACGGCCCGAACUCCUACGGGAGGCAGCAGUGGGGAAUAUUGGACAAUGGGGGCAACCCUGAUCCAGCCAUGCCGCGUGUGUGAAGAAGGCCCUCGGGUUGUAAAGCACUUUCAGCGAGGAAGAACGCCUGUCGGUUAAUACCCGGCAGGAAAGACAUCACUCGCAGAAGAAGCACCGGCUAACUCCGUGCCAGCAGCCGCGGUAAUACGGAGGGUGCAAGCGUUAAUCGGAAUUACUGGGCGUAAAGCGCGCGUAGGUGGCUUGAUAAGCCGGUUGUGAAAGCCCCGGGCUCAACCUGGGAACGGCAUCCGGAACUAUUAGGCUAGAGUGCAGGAGAGGAAGGUAGAAUUCCCGGUGUAGCGG
Molecule: ribosomal RNA, 601 nt
Filed under: Vreelandella janggokensis
Lineage: Bacteria; Pseudomonadati; Pseudomonadota; Gammaproteobacteria; Oceanospirillales; Halomonadaceae
Description: bacterial SSU rRNA
Rfam family: Bacterial small subunit ribosomal RNA
Source: RNAcentral